RNAcentral lists this ribosomal RNA (479 nucleotides) under uncultured bacterium. RNAcentral's name for it is "partial 16S ribosomal RNA". It matches the Rfam family "Bacterial small subunit ribosomal RNA", at positions 28 to 523 of the family's 1533-position model. The record is from RNAcentral.
GACGAACGCUGGCGGCGUGCUUAACACAUGCAAGUCGAGCGGUAAGGCCCUUCGGGGUACACGAGCGGCGAACGGGUGAGUAACACGUGAGCAAUCUGCCCUUCACUCUGGGAUAACCCCCGGAAACGGGAGCUAAUACCGGAUACGACCACUUCGGACAUCCGAUGGUGGUGGAAAGUUCCGGCGGUGAAGGAUGAGCUCGCGGCCUAUCAGCUUGUUGGUGGGGUAACGGCCCACCAAGGCUUCGACGGGUAGCCGGCCUGAGAGGGUGACCGGCCACACUGGGACUGAGACACGGCCCAGACUCCUACGGGAGGCAGCAGUGGGGAAUAUUGGACAAUGGGCGAAAGCCUGAUCCAGCAACGCCGCGUGAGGGAUGACGGCCUUCGGGUUGUAAACCUCUUUCAGCGCAGACGAAGCGAAAGUGACGGUAUGCGCAGAAGAAGCACCGGCCAACUACGUGCCAGCAGCCGCGGUAA